Molecule: long non-coding RNA, 7683 nt
Filed under: Homo sapiens (human)
Lineage: Eukaryota; Metazoa; Chordata; Mammalia; Primates; Hominidae
Description: HSALNT0081398
Source: RNAcentral
GCAAAACCAAAUAGAAAAGGAAGUUGAACAAAGAGGUGUGGCUCAGCCUGAUUUUACAGGUAUACCUGUAGUUUGAAUGGCUCUUCACGAUUGUUAUGUCUCCAUACAAAGGGUCUGGCUUUUAUAUUCCCACAUUAGUCAUGGGCCUCAGUCCUCACUACCCCCAGGAUGUGCACAUUAGGACACCAGGAAAAUCACUUAUAUGGGGCUGGAGUUCAAGGUUGGACCUCAUGCUCUAAAACAUGAAUGAAUGGCUACGGAAAGGUGGCCCAGACCCGGUGGAGUCACUGUGACACUGGGCCACUGCUCCCAUCCUGUUACAGAUACACACUAAGGAGGACCUCUUCCAACCAGGGAAAUGACCAGGGAAGGAACCCUUCUCCAGGGGACAUAUGUAUUGUUUGUGCAGCCUAUUAUGAGCUCCCCAGUGACUUUGGAAUGGAUACAGGACCCAAACGAACAAUGGGGAGCUGAAAAGGUUGACAUGCUCCAACAGCAUUGUGGACUGGGCCCACACCUAUGCUGAGGUGACCAAUGUUUCCAACUGUUGGAUCUACACUGCCCUUCUAGCAGCAGCUCUGGACAGCUUGCCCUUGCACAUACAUCCAGCUUCUGCGGAAAACUGGACAUGGUUAGAGACUUAGGGUACUAUGGCCAACGUUUGGAACAUGACACAGCAAGCUUCGGAUAGGAGGUGCUGCAAAACCCAUGGCAUGCCUGCCUCCCGGCUGACCUAUAGCAUCUAUGAUGGAUGGGGCUGGUUAGUUGGAGAACACUUGGUGCCCCCACUACAGGUACCAUGAUGGAUGGAGCAACAUUGGGGUAAUGUCACGCAUAGCCUGCACUAAUAUAACAUAUGUCACCACACCAAAGGCGUGGUGGAAUAGGUGGCCUCAUCAAGGCUGGGCCCUAAUGGACUUUGUGCCCCCUGGAGUUUAUAGGUGUGUGGAGACAUGGGAUCAUCAUACUUACCAGUGAACUGGACUGACUGCUGUACUGGGGGGCGGCCUUAUGUGCCUGUCACUGUUAUUCCAACAUUGCCUAGACACCCACAUAACUGGGAGGUGCUACAGUCCCUGUUUUUGCGAGUGCGACGAGCUCCCGGUGGCUCUACACCUUAGCAUUAAUCAUCCCUGGAGCAGGUGUCAGAACUGUAGAAAUGCAAGUUACGGCCCUUGCGGAGCACACUACUGGAGUCUUGAAUUACACCCUAGUUGCCCUCCUUCUGUAGACAGAUGAGGCUGAUCAAACCAGUAGGUGGUACUGCAGAACCAGAUGGCCCUAGACAUAUUAACUGCUGCCCAAGGUGGCACCUGUGCUCUUUUGGGAAUGCAAUGUUUUACCUUCAUCCAUGACAAUCAACAAAACAUAACAGUAGCUUUGCAAGGAGUUUCCCAGAAAAUCAAGGCAGUUGAGAGCCUUACUGAUGACCCCUUACAGACAUGGUAGGCAUCUCUGGGCUCUGGCUUAUAUUGCACCCUAAUAAUUAUGGGCAGCAUAGUGGGAAUAUUACUAGUGAGCUGUUGCUCCCUGUAUUGCUGCUGUGGCCUCUGGGUCCAAGGUUCUGCCCUGUGGGCAAGUCUCCCCACUAGGAGAACUCCCUUGGCCUAGGGAGUGGAGUGUAAGGAAAAUGGGUGUGCUUCAGUCAGGAGUAGGUGGAGGCAGACAUCGGUACACCAUGACACAGCGCUGGUGCAACACCCUGUGCAUUACGUAAUCACAUUUAUGUAGCCAUUUUGAUGUAACCUGUUUUUGUGAGCUCAUACCUGGCUUUGAGCCACUGUUGUCUGUGAAAAAUAUAACCGCAUUGCUGACUCUGUAGGAGACCAUUUCCCACCUGCCUAUGGUCCCCUGAGUGUUCUUUCAGCUACCCGCCACCCGUCCACCGACUCCCCUCGGACCCCAGCUUGGGUUGCAACCUGACAGCAAGGUUGAUAGACUGCUAGCUAGUGUAACAAAGACAAAAGAGAAGAUCCACAUAAGUACAAUCAGAAAUGACAAAAUGACAUUACAUCUGAUCCCACAGAGUUUCAUAAGAUCCUCAGAGACUAUUAUGAACAAGUCUAUGCACACAAAUUAGAAUAUCUAGAGGAAAUGAAUAAAUUCCUGGAAGCACACACUCUCCCAAGAUUGAAUCAAGAAGAGAUUGAAACCAUGAGUAGACCAAUAUAGGGCUCUGACAAUUGAAUCGGCAAUAAAUUCUUAAAAGUCAACAAUAAGUAAAUUAAAAACCUGAUUUAAAAAUGGGUGAAGGACCUUAACAGACACAUCACAAAUGAAAAUACAUAAAUGACAGAUAAGCAUAUGAAAAGUUGUUCCACUUUAUAUGUCAUUAGAGAAAUGUAAAUUUAAAUGACAGCGAGAUACAGCCACAUACCUCUUAGAAUGGCCAAUAUCCAGAACACUGACAGCACCAAACGCUGGUGAGGAGGUGAAGCAACAAUAACUCUCAUUCAUUGCUGACACAAAGGCAAAAUGGUAGACACUUUGGAAUUCAAUAUGACAGUUUCUUAUGAGACAAAACUACUCUUGCCAUGUGAUCUAGCAAUCACACAUCUCGGUAUUUACCCAAAUAAGUUGAAAACUUACAUCCACACAAAAACCUACACAAAGUUGUUUACAACAGCUUUAUUCAUGAUUGUCAAAACUUCAAAGCAACCAAGAUAUCCUUUACUAGAUGAUGAGAAAAAUAAACUGGUACCACCUGACAAUGGAAUAUAAUUGAACAAUAAAAAGAAAUGAGCUACCGAGCCAUGAAAAGAUAUGGCGGUAACUUAAACGCACAUAACUAAGCGAAAGAAGCCAAUCUGAAAGGGCACAGGCUAUGUAAUUCCAACUAUCUGACACUCUAUGGCAAAACUAUGGAGACAGUAAAAAGGUCAGUGGUUGUCAGGGGUUAGAGGUGGGGGGAAGGAUAAAUAGGUGGAAUACAAAGGAUUUUUAAGGCAGUUUUAAACUAUUCUGUACGAUAUUACAAUGGCGGUUACGUCAUUAUACUUUUCUUCUGAACCCGUAGAAUAUAUAAUAUGGACAGUGAACCCUAUUGUUAACUAUGGACUUUGAGUGAUAAUGAUGUGUCAGUGUAGGUCCACCAAUUCUAACAACUGGACCACUCAGGUGGGGGAUAUUGAUAAUGGAGUCUAUGCCUGUGUAAGAGCAGGUAGUAUAUAGGAAAUCUCUGUAUUUUCUGUUCAGUUUUGCUGUGAACAUAAAACUGCUGUAAAAAGGUCUCUUAAAAAUAAGGUACAAACCAUAUCAGUUUUGUGAUUUACAGAGAUUUGUUAUCUGAAACUAAUUCACAACAUAUUUAUCUGUUACAUCAUUUAGUGAGUCAACUUUUCGGAUAAGAAUCUUAGCUAAAACAUGCGGUGUUUGGUUUUUUGUCCUUGCGAUAGUUUGCUGACACAGGAAGGGGAACAUCACACACCGGGGCCUGUUGUAGGGUCGGAGGAGGUGGGGAGGGAUAGCAUUAGGAGAUAUACCUAAUGUUAAAUGACGAGUUAAUGGGUGCAGCACACCAACAUGGCACAUGUAUAUAUAUGUAACAAACCUGCACGUUGUGCACAUGUACCCUAAAACUUAAAGUAUAAUAAUAACCCCCCCACAAAAAAAAAUCUUAGCUAAAACUGAGAGGAAAAACAUUUUGUCACUUAAUCCAUAGGAAUAACAGAAAUACAAGGAAUUAAUUGUUUAUAUCAUCACAAUAAAUUCUUAACAAGAAAAUGUAGUAUUAAAAAAAUAACCAAAUUAGAAUGAAUGGCACUUUUAAAAUAAUGUAAUAUAGCUAGAAAAAAAUAGUGUAUUUUUUUAACAAUUCCAAUGAUACUAAGUAAUAAAUUCUAGCCCAGAUUUUUUUUAUAGCAAGUUAAUUUAGGACCUAGUUACAUAUUUCUCUUCCUCCUGGUUGGGGUAAAAAUUUAAGCUUAAUGCUGCCCAAUCAAUAUUUCAAAAAGCUUGUCUUGAUCAUCUUCUUUUAAUUACAUAAUAAAGUGCUUCUAAAAUUACUCUUUCAGUGGAAGCAAUUGGUUUAUAUAUUUAAAUGUCUGUCAUGGCAUAUAAAGGAUCAGGUGCACUCUUCAAAAAGAAAAAAUAUCUUUCCUCGUAUUCUGUUAUAUUGUCCUUUUACUUUUUAAAAAAUUGUCAUAUUAUUUGCUGCCUUUGAACUUAUCAAAAAUAAGUAACAUAUCUUUAGAAAAUAAGUAACUCCUAUAAUUUUAAAGGGCAUUGCAGGAGUGAGAAUAAAGCUUUACACAUUUUUAACUCUUCUCUAACAUUUGGCAAUCAAUGCGAGCUGUAUUAGUCCAGCUUGUAAGGUGGAAGCUGUAACUGUAACUUCCAGGCUAGUCACAUAGUUCCCCUGAGGUCAAUAACCUUUUAACACAUCUACAGGUUGGUGGUGUAAAAUAACAGCUCUUUGAUUUUUAACAAAAUAUGGAAUGAUUCAUUCAAUAAUACACUGAAAUUUUAUUGAGUCUAUGUGUAUGAUGGAAUUUUUGGGGAUCUUACAAUUUAACAGUAAAUAAAAAGUUUUAAAAAAGAAUCCUUCAAUUGAGAUAUAGAGAGGGAAGAUGAACGGUAAAGAAUAAAGAAUUAAUAGGUGAAAAUAAGGCUUACUAGAGGACAAUAAGUGCUAUGCAAAUUUUUUAAAAAGAGGUAGACGGUUGGUGGGUAGGUGUCAAUGCUAAAUAGGGUGGCUGGAAGAGGCCCCAGAGAGAAGAAGUAACGAGCAGAUACCAUCAUGGGAAAUGACCUUUCUGGUAGGGAGCCAUAUGCUGGAAGAACAAAGACGUUCUUCUAAUGUGAAGAGAAAAAUAUAGUGGAAAUCACUGAAUAUGUGUCUCCAUGUUCUUUGGUCCAACAGGGUUAUAGAAGCAGUGCUCAGUAGCCAAUUAGGAGAAUAAAAGGGCAAGGAAUUGCAGAGAGAAAUAAUAUGAUGAGAGAAAUUUUGCCUUGAGGUUUUCAGGUCCCUGGUAUAAGCAACACACAGACAAAUAUUGGGCCCACUUAGCGUAAUUAGACUAAUUAAAAGCAAUUAACCCAUCCUCCACCUACAAAAUGAAGAAGUUUAGAGCUGCAGCUCAGCUUAGAUAUGUAUGCUUCUGGUUGAAAAAACCCUUCAGCUAAUUUGUCCUGCUGCUGUGUUAAUUGAAACUCAGUUGAUUGAAAAAAAAAAAAAAAAAAACUUGGAAAAGAAAAGCCCUUCAUCUAAAAAGAGAGUCAUUUAUUCUGACAAUUACAAUUAUUGAAAUGUUCUUUUCUAUACCUAUAUGACAGGAAUAUUAUGCUGCUAAGCAUAUACGCAUCCACAGACACAUAGGCCCACCAAAAUACACAGAAUUUCUCUUAAAAGAUUAGAGUGGUAUUUUUAAUAGAAAAAGAAGACCCAUAGGAUGUAAGCUUUGAAGUAAAUUAAGAUUUGCCUUUACCAUAUUGGAAAAUAAAGUUGUGAUUGGAAGACUUGAUUUUAGUGGGUUAAGAAAAGAAGUAUUUUAUUCAGAAUAUUUUACAUAUAAAGAUUUGUGCCCAUAUACACACAAACAUUCACAGAACAUAUAUACAGUAUCAUUAUCAGAGGCUGAGCUCUGAAAUAUUUUUAUUUUCUGUGUGAUAAUGUAUGAAGGAAUGAGUUACCAUCAUUCUAAUUUUAUUAAGUAAGCUUUAUCAAUUUCUAUACACAAAAAUACACACAUAUGCAGACACAUAGGGUUCAAAUAUAAUCUGUAUUUCUAUAAAUUUUGCUUUAUAAAAUGCCCCUUUUAAAUCUUGCUCUAUUGUGAAGUUGACAGGGAGUCUUUAAAAUGAUUAUAAUUAAUUCUAGUGUUAUAUGCUUAACUGAUAGAUAUGUUAAGUAUCAUAGAGGAAUAACAUCCACCAUAUAGCUGCAAAAAGAAUUUUAGAAGUUUGGCCAGUUUACAAAAGAAAAGGAUUCUAAGAAAAGCAGGCUAAUGAAUAGAAUAAACUUAGUCCAAAAUAUCAUACAUUAACAAUAAAAUUUUAAGCAAGUAUUAAUUUUUUCAAAGAAAUCAAUAUGACAUAUUUAGGAGUUCAUUACAGAGGAGGGUGAAUAAUAAACCUGGAAAGAAAAAGCAUGAAUAUAUCUUUAUAAAAUCAAAAGAAUAUUUGCUACUACUCUGUUUACCAUUGUGCUAAAUGUAGCAUGUAGCAUCUUGUCUUAUCUUUAUCUCUUUAAUAUCAGUAUUUAAGCUAAGCAAACAGAUUGCAUUUUAGAAUAAAUAAUAAAAUUAUCUCUGUAUGUGUGUUGGUUUUUUUCUUUUUGUUCUUUGCUUAUGGCCAGUCUUUUUAAAAAUCCAUUUCCUAUAGUAUAAACAGAAGGAUGUAUUUAAAUCAUGGAUUAUUCUUACUAUUUAAAAAUACUGCUAUUUUAUUGUGAAAAGAGCAGUACUAGGAUUGAGAAAUGAUAAAACUAUGAAAAUUAUCGUGUUAAUGUAAAAUCCAGUUGGUUUCACUAAAAUGAAAUAAAACCCAAAACCUGUUUUAUUGAUUCACACAAAACUUUAUAAAUUAUUACCUACCCUUAGAGAUUUUGGAACAUUAUAAAACAGACUUAGUUUCCCCCUAUGAAUGUGAAAGAAAAUGGAAAAAUAAUCAUCUCAUGAGAAAAUGGCUUUGAAACAAGAGUAACUUCUAUAAGAAAACAGCUGUUUCAAGCACAAUUAUUUACAGAUUUUUUUCUUGGACAAAUAAUUUCUUAAAACAUCAUUAUAUCAGAGAUUACAAUGUUCAAUUAAGCCUGGAAAGAAAGCACUGUAUGAGGAGAUAUAAAUGUCCAGAUUGCAUCUUACCCUCUGCCCGGAAAAGCUAAUGUACUGAGAACAGCAGGUUUUUGCAAUAGAGAAAGAAUGUAAUAAAUAUACAGCCAACUAAGUGAGAGGACAGGAGUUUAUUUUUACUCAAAUUAGCCUCCUUGAGAAUUUUGAGGCUAGAGAUUUUUAAGAAUAAUUUGGCAGAUGGGGGUUGGGAUUAGAGAAUCCUUAUUUGUCGGGUUGGGAUGAAAUCAUAGGGAGUAAUAACUUGUCUUCUUGCACUGAAUCAGUUCCUGAAUGGGGCCAGCAAGACCAGAUGAGCCUGUUUACCAGUCUCAGUGGUGCCAGCUGGUCCACCAGAAUGCAGGGUCUGAAAAAUACCUCAAACCCUAAUCUCAGGUUUACAAUAGUGAUGUUAUCUAUAGGAGCAAUUAGGGAGUUUAGGAACUGUGCGGCCUCUGGCUGCAUGACUCCUGAGCCAUAAUUUAUAUUCUUGUGGAUAAUUUAUUAGUUUUAUACAUGCAGUUUGAUCACCAAGCACCGAGGGAGUUUGUUGCAAGAAUAGGCUGUUACCUUCUUUCUUUCAAAGUUAAACUAUGAACUAAAUUCCUUCCAAAGCUAGCUUGACCUAUGCCCAGGCAUGAACAAGGGCAGCUUGGAGGCAAGAAGCAAGAUAGAGCCAGUUAUGUCAGAUUUCUUUCACUGUCAUAAAUUUCCCUUGUCAGAUUUAUCUCACUGUCAUAAUUUUGCAAAAACAGUAUCAGGGAUAUCUUUCCAUAAACAACAUAUAGUUUUAUGAUUAAUAGAACCCAAUUAUACUGAAGGCAAAAUAAUAGAUUAUUGUAAACUUCAUUAUUAAUAAAAGAGUCAAUUAUUGAACAUAUAAUAUAAUGGAAAAUUUAGAAACAUCCUAUUUGUG